This 434-nucleotide ribosomal RNA is filed under the name uncultured Lachnospiraceae bacterium. RNAcentral's name for it is "partial 16S ribosomal RNA". It matches the Rfam family "Bacterial small subunit ribosomal RNA", at positions 341 to 792 of the family's 1533-position model. The record is from RNAcentral. Lineage: Bacteria; Bacillati; Bacillota; Clostridia; Lachnospirales; Lachnospiraceae.
ACGGAAGGCAGCAGUGGGGAAUAUUGCACAAUGGGGGUAACCCUGAUGCAGCGACGCCGCGUGAGCGAAGAAGUAUUUCGGUAUGUAAAGCUCUAUCAGCAGGGAAGAAAAUGACGGUACCUGACUAAGAAGCUCCGGCUAAAUACGUGCCAGCAGCCGCGGUAAUACGUAUGGAGCAAGCGUUAUCCGGAUUUACUGGGUGUAAAGGGAGCGUAGACGGGACAGCAAGUCUGAUGUGAAAGGCGGGGGCUCAACCCCUGGACUGCAUUGGAAACUGUUGACCUUGAGUGCCGGAGAGGUAAGCGGAAUUCCUAGUGUAGCGGUGAAAUGCGUAGAUAUUAGGAGGAACACCAGUGGCGAAGGCGGCUUACUGGACGGUAACUGACGUUGAGGCUCGAAAGCGUGGGGAGCGAACAGGAUUAGAUACCCUGGUA